AGUGCCUCAGUACGGCGAGUGAAGCGGCAACAGCUCAAAUUUGAAAUCUGGCCGCAAGGUCCGAGUUGUAAUUUGCAGAGGAUGCUUUUGGCGAGGUGCCUUCCGAGUUCCCUGGAACGGGACGCCAUAGAGGGUGAGAGCCCCGUACGGUUGGACCACCGAGCCUCUGUAAAGCUCCUUCGACGAGUCGAGUAGUUUGGGAAUGCUGCUCUAAAUGGGAGGUGUACGUCUUCUAAAGCUAAAUACCGGCCAGAGACCGAUAGCGCACAAGUAGAGUGAUCGAAAGAUGAAAAGCACUUUGAAAAGAGGGUUAAAAAGUACGUGAAAUUGUUGAAAGGGAAGCGUUUAUGACCAGACUUGGGCUUGGUUGAACAUCCGGCGUUCUCGCCGGUGCACUCUGCCAGUCCAGGCCAGCAUCAGUUUGUCCCGGGGGAUAAAGGCGGUGGGAAUGUGGCUCCCCCGGGAGUGUUAUAGCCCGCCGUGCAAUGCCCUGGGACGGACUGAGGAACGCGCUUCGGCACGGAUGCUGGCGUAAUGGUCAUCAACGACCCGUCUUGACCGGGACCA
This 567-nucleotide ribosomal RNA is filed under the name Sarocladium oryzae. RNAcentral's name for it is "partial 28S ribosomal RNA". It matches the Rfam family "Eukaryotic large subunit ribosomal RNA", at positions 73 to 668 of the family's 3401-position model. Lineage: Eukaryota; Fungi; Ascomycota; Sordariomycetes; Hypocreales; Sarocladiaceae. The record is from RNAcentral.